CAAGGUUCGCGCCGAGCGUAGCGAGACAACGACGCGCAGCGGCGGCCCGAAGGGUGAGGAACGAAGUGACGAGUAAUCCUUCCCCCACCACCA
Molecule: small RNA, 93 nt
Filed under: Yersinia enterocolitica
Lineage: Bacteria; Pseudomonadati; Pseudomonadota; Gammaproteobacteria; Enterobacterales; Yersiniaceae
Description: partial RtT sRNA
Rfam family: RtT RNA
About the family: This family represents a bacterial cis-regulatory element known as RtT RNA. The exact function of RtT is unknown although it is thought that it may be involved in changing the cellular response in relation to amino acid starvation.
Source: RNAcentral